GAUCCUGGCUCAGGACGAACGCUGGCGGCGUGCUUAACACAUGCAAGUCGAACGGAGCGCUAUGGAAUGAGGUUUCGGCCAAAGGAAAUGGUUGCUUAGUGGCGGACUGGUGAGUAACGCGUGAGGAACCUGCCUUUCAGAGGGGGACAACAGUUGGAAACGACUGCUAAUACCGCAUGACGCAUGACCGGGGCAUCCCGGACAUGCCAAAGAUUUAUCGCUGAAAGAUGGCCUCGCGUCCGA
RNAcentral lists this ribosomal RNA (243 nucleotides) under uncultured bacterium. RNAcentral's name for it is "partial 16S ribosomal RNA". It matches the Rfam family "Bacterial small subunit ribosomal RNA", at positions 15 to 240 of the family's 1533-position model. The record is from RNAcentral.